This 71-nucleotide transfer RNA is filed under the name Plecotus auritus (brown big-eared bat). RNAcentral describes it as "tRNA-Tyr". It matches the Rfam family "tRNA". Rfam says of the family: Transfer RNA (tRNA) molecules are approximately 80 nucleotides in length. Their secondary structure includes four short double-helical elements and three loops (D, anti-codon, and T loops). The record is from RNAcentral. Lineage: Eukaryota; Metazoa; Chordata; Mammalia; Chiroptera; Vespertilionidae.
GGUAAAAUGGCCGAGUAGGUAUUAGACUGUAAAUCUAAGGACAGAGGUAAAAAUAGACCCUCUUUUUACCA